Molecule: long non-coding RNA, 224 nt
Filed under: Panax ginseng (ginseng)
Lineage: Eukaryota; Viridiplantae; Streptophyta; Magnoliopsida; Apiales; Araliaceae
Description: long non-coding RNA (PGIN_LNC015710)
Source: RNAcentral
AGAUUCUCUUCAACGUCCAGCAUACCUACCAUGUUCACGGCCAAAUCGCCGCCUUUAGACUGGCCAGGCGGCAUAAAGAAAAGCCAUGUUGAAGUACACAAUAUGGCACAAACCUUUCCCCAGAAGAUCAAAACUAAUAGGCUUAAAAGGAGCAAACUCAAUCCAGUAUUUGAACUAAAAACUCCACACCUAACUUUCUUUGUUGGAAUGGGAACAUGUUUUUA